AAAGAGACACUUCUUGGAAAUAAAAUUUGAUCAAGAAACUGUUGAGGAGGAACCAGGAGGGACAACAGAAAGGACACUGGUGGAGAAACAAAGCUGGCCUACCAGAGCCCAGGGCAGAAAAUGCCUUGCAGGUUCAUAUUCAAGGGGCUGCAGUUUCAUUCCAAGCCUGUUGGGGGCAGAUGUGAGCCGUGGGUGUGGCCUAUGUCACCAGCGCACACAGGCAAAUGGAGGUGGGGUUGGGGAGGAGAGGCCAGGCACCUGGACACAGAGUGGGGGCAGGGACUGGGGGACAGAUUGACAUAAUUUACAUCAGUCCUGGCAAUUAAUUACUUCUCACACUCUUCAUGGCUCACACCUCUGCAAAUCUCUAUCAAAUCUUUCCCCCAAAGACCUCAAACCUACCUCCUUCCAUGACUUGCAACAGAGGCUCACCCCCAAAUUACUGAAAAAAGGGAGGCAACCUUUAUUCAUGAAACUUUGCAUUUUUGUUCUUUUACUAAAACUUAAUCUGUAGGUUUCUGACCUUAGCAAUGGGUGACAUGACUCCACUCUCAACUACGCAAACAAUCUGGCAUUCUGACAGCCUAUUUCAAAACAUUAUCUUCCUAAAUUCACUCCUAAGUUACAAGAAAAUUAGAGGGAAACAUGGGUCAAAACCAAACUGGAUCCUGGAAAGCUAUAAGGGACACACAUUGAUGUUUCAGGUAUCUGGGGGGUGUUGUCAUGGUACUGGUGAUUAUCUGAGAGGCAGAUAAUCCUUACCCAGAGUCAGACGUCCUUACCCAGGUGCUUCAAAGCCUUAGACCAAAUGAGAAACAAAAAGUCAAAUAAGACCUCCAAAGGGCAAAGUGUACAAACAGCCCUGGCUUGUGGGACAGGCAGAGAAAAAGGCACCUCCUCCUCUGAGAGCCUGUCACUCUUCCAGCCUGACUAGAUUUGCAGGAACCUCAGGCUGGACAGUUAACGUGGGAUGAACUUCCUUUGCUAGCAGGCUUGGUGAAGCCAGCAAAAAGCAAACGAGAAAGGAUACACCUUGGAAGGGUGUGACCGUCCUUGUGCUCUGCUGUCAUUCUGUCAGAUAAAGGGGUCAGGUGCUCUCACACUACAAGUACAAAGCAACCUGUAUGAAUGAGAGUCAGCCUCUCAAUGACUCAAGAUACAGAAAGAUCAGAUGCAGAUUCUGAAAUAUCUAGGGAAUAAAUGAAUACAUACAUACAUACACACACACACAUAGGCAUGUUUUAAAACAUGGGGAAAGGAUGCAAUGUUUUCAAAAGGACCAGGAUCUUUGAAAUCUAGCAAAAGCAAAUCCAUGAUUUAUCUGCAUGUUUCAUUCCCAGGGAGAAAGAGUCCCCCUCGGCCCCCCCACCCCCGCCAAAGGUCAAACUUUAAAUUUGUGUUCUUCCAAGAUUCAUGAGGUUUUGGACUUUCAUCGUUCAGCUUUGGGGCUUCUCAGAUAUCAUUAGUGAAGGUGGGUCUGCUGAGCUGCAGCCUGUUCUUAGGUGAAGCGGGUUACAUCUCCAAUGAACUUUCCUACACAGAUCCAUAGCCUGAGGUUUCUGUGGGACAUGGAUUUGUGGGGAGGUUGGGUCUACUCAACAUGUAUGUUUAAUUUAUCCAAUGCUCACACAUAUUGUGCAUAUACAAUACUAAUUACACAUAUAGAUAUACAAAUAUUGCAUAUAACAUAUAAAUACAUAUAUAAUAUGCAACCUGAAAAGAACUUUGUGGAGUCAAAUAUCCUCUACCAGAUUGAUUCUUCACUAGCAUUUACAUUAUUCUAGAAAGAAUCCUUCUGCCUAACUCCAGUAACUUCUCUGUCUAUUCCAAGGUCUAGUGAAUCAUUGACUUACAUUCCACUUUUAAAAUUAAUUUAGCUUUUAUAUAUUUGUGUGCUACCUUCUCUCUCUCUCUCUCCCUCUGUGUGUGUGUGUGUAUGUGUGUGUGUGAGAGAGAGGGGGGGGGAGAGAGAGAGUCAGAAAUAACUUGUGAGAGUUGAAUUCUCUCUUUCUACCAUGUAGGUCAUUGGGAUUGAACUAAGGUCAUCAUGUUUAGCUGCAAAUACACUUAGCCACCGAGCCACUGAGCCGACUUACUGGCAACAAAUUCCAAUCUUCAGUGUCUUUUCUGGAUACUUUUAUUAAGUGGGACCAUAGUAUCUGUUCUCAUUCUAGCCUUCCGGUUUCUUUAAACAUAAUGGACUCAAGACUCCUUCUCAUUGCAGUUUGGGGAUUUUGUUCUUUUAUUGCUUAACAUGACUCUCUGGCAUAGAUCUUCUGUACUUUAUGGUCUUAAGUGUCUCAAAGCCAUGGGCAAAAUUGCCCACUAUAUAAUAUCUGUAUAAAUGGAGAGGAGAAGACAUGAAAAAUGGAGGUUUUCUGUGAGGAAUUGUCCAAGGUUUGUUUCCAGGGUCAGUAGAGUUUAGCCUCCUUCUUUGUGUAUGUUCUGUCUCUCCUCUCUCUCUCUCUCUCUCUCUCUCUCUCUCUCUCUCUCUCUCUCUCUCUCUCUCUCUCUCUCUCUCUCGCCACGUGUGGAGGGCAGAGGAGUACUGGCAAGAAUUAGCUUUCUUCUUCACUCAUGUGGAUCCCAGGAAUCAAAUUCAGGUCACUGGGCUUGGCAGCAAGCACCUUGACACGCCAAGCCACCUUGUAGAUCUCUGCAUUGCAUUUUCCGGUCUUAGGCUGUAACAAGCUUUAAUGCACACUAUGUGGGGGAAGUAUCUCAACAAACAAUGCAGAAUGGGAUUUUCACUCACUGAUACUAUUCUGCUAGAGAUAUUCCUCGCUUUCAGUCCUAUUUCUCUUUUGGGUGAAAGUCUUAUUAUUAAGAAGGGCUUGUAUUUCUGGCAAUGAAGCUGGCAUUUAGUCAGAAACACUCAGCUAGCCUAUGUUUUCCUAUCCUGCUUAGAAUGGUCAAAAGGACCCAUUUGUUUUAAUGAACCAUCGCUGUGGCUUCUCUGCCGUGCUGAUGUCUGAAGGCAUGGCGACCUUUUCACUUGUCACACUCCUGGGCCCCGAGAGAUGACAGCAUGUCAGUGCAGCUACGCUCUCUGCCAGGAUUCCUGAAGCAUCACAAAUGGACGGGGUCAUUUAACAGAGAUGGGUACCAAGGAGAGGCUGUGAGGAAACUGCUAGCCUCGGAGCAAAUCCAGACCCAGGACAGCUCUGGCCGAGGCUGUGUGCUCUCCUCCAAAAUUACUCAUUAAGGCCGGUGCUGUUUUACAUCAGGGGAACCUGGUUCGUAAGCUUUGCUCAUUAGCCACAGCGCUACCCCACGGCUCCUUCACCUCUCAGCCAGUCUGCUGUUGUGUUAGGAGCAUCUUCUGACCUACUUUCUUGCAGCUUAAAGAUUCAGCCAUGCCAGGUUGCUGCAGCCCCUGGCCAGGGAGUAUGAUCAGGCAUCUCUUUGCCUGACUACAGCACAGUGACAGGGAUGUGAUCUUAAUUUGACACUGGCAAUGGUAAGGGUGUUUGUGCCAUUGAAAUGGGUAAAAGCUAGAACCUGGCUUUUCUUCACACCCUCCCGUUAGCAGUUAAUUAUUAAGAUGCUUAUAAAAAUAGUAUUUGAGUCAGUACUUCUCACUCUAUUUAAUAACUUGGAAAUGAUUCCACUCUCCAGCUGAGAGACUGGACCAUCCUCAGGACUGACAAGAUUCACAUCCCACCCAACACAUCCCUUCAACCUCGCAAAGAAGAAAAGAGAAAGCUGGAGAGGAGUGGCUGCCAACGUGUCUAAUUCAAAUGUGAACGGGGGUGGGACCCGAAUGGGUCCCCACUCAGAAUCAUCAGAUCACAUCAGAAACAGGGGUGACUAGUUACCACAGAUCAUUCGGGAUCUCUCGUGUCUGAAAAUGCAAGUCUUAUCUUCUGAGAAGUCACAGUUCCUCCAUUCCUUUAGAAAAAAGAUGGCAGAAAGGAUGUUGCACUAACAAGGAGGAGACACCAAAGCAGGGGUCAUAGGGAGUCCCUGGAGAUGUUCUAGGUCAUACACACAUUUAAAAAUAUUUCAAAUCGUAUGCACAUGGAUGCUUUGCCUACAUAUAGCAUGUGCAUGCCAGGUGCUUAUAUAGGCCAGAAGGGGGCACUGACUCCCCUGGAACUGGAGUCAUAGAGUACUUGAAUGACUUGUGGGAGCUUGGAAAUGGACUUGGGUUCGUUGGAAGAGCAGCCAAAGCUCUUAACUGCUGGGUGUUAUCUCCGGCAUGAACACAUUUUUUGAAACUACUUACUCAACCUUAUUUUUUUAUAUAUAUUCCCAAACUCAACAUGACAAAACUUCAAAGGACAGAAUGUCAAAAACCUACAGAUCCAUUGCUGGAUUCAUGGUCUUGUACAGAUUUUAUGUUUGUUUGUUGUUUUUUUUUUUGCCAUUAUUCUAGCAGAAAACCCAACAUUUUUCAAAUAUGUAAUUAUCACUAUGCUAUUUCAGUUCUUCUUAAGUGAAAAUGUGAAUCAGUAAGGGUCUCAACUGUGAGACACAAAGAUGGAAGUUGCCUUCAGGGACCCUGCUGCUUCAAGAGGACAACAGAGGGAGCCUUGUUGUGUCCCAUGUAGUCAAGGCUCUGGUUCCCACAAGAUGAAAGAUGAAUCUAGGAAUUGGCUAUUUCAGAGCCCUUUUUGUACAUCACAUCAAACAAAGAAGUGGCCAGGAGCCUGGCUCCAACCUCAUGUAGUAGCAUUGUGAACUGAGUAGUGUGUAUCUGCUUGACUGCUUGACUCCAUGGGCCUCUAUUUUCUGGUUGACUCCAGAAACGUAGAUGGGACCAAAUGUUCUCAGUGGGUGUAUUGAUAACUUGUUUCACCAGUAAACAAACUAGUAGGCAGAAAAAAAAACUAUAGGAAGACAACUCAUCAUAUGGGGGGGGGGUAGCAGGGGCAGACAGCUCAUCAUAGAGGGGGUCAGACAGCCCAUCAUAGUGCGAGGUGCAGACAACUUGUCAUAGUGGGGGACAUAUAACCUGUCAUAGUGGAGGGGGGCCAGACAGUCCAUCAUAGUGGGAGGGGCAGAUGGCCCAUCAUAGUGGGGAGGAAUGGACAGUCCAUCAUAGUGGGGAGGGGCAGACAGCCUAUCAUAGUGGGGUGGGGCAGACAACCUGUCAUAGAGGGGAGAGACAGAUGGCCCAUCAUAGUGGGAGGGGCAGAUGGCCCAUCAUAAUGGGGAGGAAUGGACAGUCCAUCAUAGUGGGGAGGGGCAGACAACCUGUCAUAGAGGGGAGAGACAGAUGGCCCAUCCUAGUGGAGAGGGGCAGACAGCUCAUCAUAGUGGGGAAGGGCAGACAGCUUGUCACAGAGGGGAAAUGCAAUGGCAGCAGCUUUGUGUCAGAGGGCUGUUCACACGGUAGUAGAUAAAAGUGGAGAACAUGGCUGGAAUCUUCACAAGAUUGCUCCUAGUGAUCUACUUCUGCCAGGCCUCACACGAAAGAAGAAAAAAAACUAUCUUGCUUUUGGGAAGAAAACCAACUAAACCAAAAAACCCGUCAAGCUUAGUGGCUCGUGUGCACGAUUCCCUCCUGACAGGAGCUGAGUACUCAGCAGCCCUGAGCCCAAGCUGAAUCGGAAGUGUCAGCAAACCCCUGCAGACACAGGGAACUGCAAACUGCUUUUUCUGAUGUCAGGACUUCUCCUCAGGGAGCUCACUCUGCUGCAUUUGCUCAUGGCCAGAAGACUCAUCCGGCAGGAGAAAGGUAUAUGGGUUGCUGUCUACUACUGUUGGCUUUAACAUCAACAGCUGAGUGGCAAGUCAAACACGUGGACACCACCUUGUAUUCUGAAAUUCACUGAUCCAACAGUGUGGGAAUCUAGAUGAACAGGGAGGAAGCCUGUGUGUGAGAGUUCUACCAUCCCCGCCCCUGCCUCUCCCAUUCUGCUCAUAGAUGUCGAAAUUGCAAAGAGCAGAUGGCUGGUUCCUGCCCUGAUGGCCUCUGGCCUCGGACACCCCGCCAUGACUUGCCCUGCAUUACAAAAGCUCAUCAGCAAAUGUGCUCUGGGGACGCUGACUUGGAUGCUAUGUUCUAACAGGUAUUCCUGAUUAUUCCUACAGAGGGUCACACCUGGGUGUCCUCAAGGGAGAAGAGAGAGUCAUGGCCUGAGUCUGUGCUCAACUCUGAAUGAAUUAUGGGAGGCAGUGCUCCAAGUUCACCUUUGCCUUAAGAAUACAUUGGUAUGCUCACAAAGCCCACCACAUAGCAGAUGAUUAGACAGCUUUUUUUUUUUCCAGCUGAAUUUACAGAAUAAAACUGGCUCAGUGGCCUUUGAGGGUGACAUGGAUACAGAACUGGCCUAUUUCAGUCAUAAGUAAAAUCAUUCUUUCCUGGAUGAACUAAGCUCAAAUUAAAGAAGUGAUUGUAAAGAUUAAAAGAAGCAAGAAUGUAAAAAGACUGACCUUGGCAUCCAGGAGCCUGCUAAGAAAUACCUCUUGGACCUUCCUGCUCUCCCAAAGAAAGUAAGCAAGCCACAACACCAGCAUCAAACAAGAGCAGUUCCUUCCUUCCACCAGAACAAUCUGCUGAAAUAUCCAACCUCAGGACUGGAGAUUGGCUGCCAGACUAGAGCCAAGUGGGCAAACCAGCAACAGCCACUCAGGACAGCCAGAAGGUAGCUGCUUGGGCACACAUAUGCCUUGUUUGAUGGUAUUCACACUAUUGUCUGUGUUCAGACACAAUGAUGAAAGGACUUUCUUUUGAACUGUUUCAGCUACACAAAUAAGAGGGGACAAUAUGAUAUCAUUUUCAAAUGGCAUAAAAUUAAAUCAUCUGAGAAAAUUAAUGAAAAAUAUCUAAGCUUCAGACAGAGAAAACUGUACCUCUUAGGGGACAUCAAGAACACUAGAGAAAAAGGAAGGGAAGAUUCAUUGGCAUCAAUUUCAGAUAACCUUAAAGGGAAGAGCAUUAGUGAAGAGCAGAGGUGAAGGGCAGCAUACCCCAGCAUGGAUUUAACAUAAAAUGUGAGUAUUUAAAAUGACAUGAUCUUGAUGAGGAAAUUAGAAAACAAAUCAAGAAGUCUCCAGGGUGAGCUUGGUGGGUAAAGGUACUAGCCCUGGGCAAACCCUGAGACCUGAGCUGGGUCACUGGGACCCACAUAUGAUGGAUGGUGAGAACUAUCUCCACAACUUUGUCUUCUGCCCUCUACAUGUGCAUGUACAAUCCUCAUCUCCCUUCAUACACACACACACACACACACUAAUAAUGAUAAUGCUUUUAUAUAAAAGCUGACAUGAGUACAUUGGUUAUGAAGGUGGCAGCUUCCACCAAUGAAGGGUCAAUCAUUGCUCUCUGAUCCACUCCUGCCAGAGCAUGGCAUCAUAACUCCUGAACAUAUAGGCACUUAUUCCCAUCUUACGAUGAGCAGCAGGGAGGUCUUGAUGGUGUUAUCACCCAAGUCCACACAAGUUUCCCAUAGGCAGAACUGGGGAAUGAAACCAGAUAAUCUAACAGUAGACCUCAAACUAUUAAGAACUGUUACAAUCCAUAUUAGAACCUACUAACUGUCAUCAUCCUGGAAAUUUCAUCAUAAAAUAGCUAUACUGAAGUACAAUUUACAUAAGAGAACAUUCAUGUUUUUAUAUCACACAAUGAAGUGGGGUUUGUAUAUUUAUAAAUUUGGGCAUCUCUUCCUGCUAAAUCUAGAAUAUUCUCAUUACAUGUACUAAUCUAAGCAGGGACACCUGUCUCAUACUUGCUCUGUGGUGAAGAUCAGUAGCAGUAAUCAAGAAGGCCAUCUGAGAACAGAUGAGUAUCUACAGAGAAGAGAGAAUAAUGGGUUAGCUUAUUUCCAGUCUGACCUGCCCAUGAAGGCAUGGUGGACCUCAGAAGUAGGACUGAGAAUUGUCAAGACCCCAAGUCUGUUUGGUGGACAUGGGGAGACCUGGUCUGAACACAGGAAUACAUAUAUGCUAGUUGGUAUCCCGUCAGCUUACUCCUGGGCGUGAGAUCCCAGGGUAAGGAAGUAAGCUGAACAAACCAUGGAGAGCAAGCAACAUCCCUUCAGGAUUCCUGCCUUGAUUUCCCACUAUGAUUGGGAUGUAUAAGUCAAAUAAACCCUUCCCUCUCCCAAAAGUUGUUACUGGCCAGUUCUUUGUUACAGUGACAGGAAAGGAAGGGAAGCAGCAUACACUCUGGCAUUACAGAGUUCUGCCCAGGCUGAACAUGAGGCAGGGAGGUGGCAGGUCAGGCUAUACUGUGGCCUGUGGGUUGUUCUGGGGCUACAGGCUUCGACAGAUUCCAAGAGCAACUGUCUCUCCAGGGAUGCUCCUAUCCCUGUUUGAUAAGUAAUGUCCUUUUAUGCUGCAUGAGGGGAUCAGACGGGAUGGAAGCAGAGCAGCAGACAAAGGAAGAGCUGCAUGCUCAGUGUGAGAUUCUGCAAUCAGUGUUCCUCGAAAGACAUAGCCAGCUGCAGGACUCUGGAGGGGGCAGGUGCAAUGUUGGCACCCGAGGGAAACAUUAGGAGUGACUUCCAUUUGAGAGCCUAGUAGUUUGGGGAAUUAUUUUCUUAGAAAAAAAUUAUCAUGUUCCUAAGACUACAAACAUCCUCUGAUACAGUGGAAGAGGCUUGGUCUGGGUACCUGGCUUGCUUUUUGCAUUUGCUGCCCAUGGGGUUUAGAGGUAGUAUAGACCAGAGCCCAGGCUUGAUCAGAAGUAGGGCCUGCUGUUUCUGUCUUUGCCAUCAAUCCUCCUCUAGUGUUUGAUUUCCUUUCCUGGGAGGAUUUUUGGUACAAGAUAAAUUAGAACUGAGAUGGCAGUGUAGACGCAGCAGCAGGAAUACCAGCUGAGUUGGAAGGCUUUGCACAGAUCAAUCUUCCAUCCUGUUGAUGGCUUUUCCUGACAGUUCCCUAUGGUCUGCCUGCUAUCUGCCAGCAGCACCUUGUGCCUGCUUCCAAACAAAAGAGGGCUGCUGUGGUUGUAUCUGUUGCUAAAAUGCCUUAUUCUCUGAUGCGAGUCUCUGAAAGCAAUAAGCAAACUGGACAGAACGUGAGUUAGUGCUUACCCCCAGCUUCCUGCUGUACCCCAGCUUCCUGCUGUAAUUCCAAUAUCCCUCAGUAGCAAGUAUAUGUUUUGCAAAUGUGUUUAAAUCUUGCCUCCAGUGCUAUUCUGGGAGCCCAGCACUUGCCUCUGAGUAGCCACCUCUGUCCCCUCACAUUACCCAAGGAAGUGACAAGCUCUCUCAUGCUGUGUUUAGAAAUAUGUGUAGCCCCUAUACCAUAAGACCAACUAACUAGAAUAUAUAAAGAGCUCAAAAAAAACCCAAUUAUCCCUCAAUUACCUAAUCAAUAAAUUAUCAAAUAAGUAGACAAUUAUUUUUUGCAGGAGGAAAAAAAAAGACACAUGAAAAACUAGUAACAAAUGCACAAAGACUAUUCCCUCAGCCAUUGGGGAAAUGCCAAUGAGAACCACAAUGAGAUUGAUUCUUAUCGUACCCUAGACAGAACGACUUGCUUCAUGAAAACCAAUGACAACAAGUGCUGGUAAGGAACUGUGGGAAAGGAGCCUUCUUAUAAGGCUGGUGGGGGUACAAACUAGUGCAAUCACUAUGAAGAUCAGAGAAGAGGUCCUUCCAAGGAACAGAACCCUUGAAUGACCCAGCUGUACCUCUCCUGGGAAUAUGCCCAUAGGAGUAUGAGCUAGCAUACCAUAAGAUACCUUUGUACCAUGAGAUACCUCUCACCCAUGCUUGUUGCAGCCACUACAUCCCAGCUAUGAACCCAAUAUUGGGGUCCAUCAAGAGCUGAAUGGAUGAAAGACUUGCAACACACACACACACACACACACACACACACACACACACACACACGAGAAAGUUAAAUUGGACUGUAGAGAAGGGGAAGGGAGUUGGUCGCCAGGAAGAUAGGAUAGGUUAAUGGGUAUGAAAUCUGGUGAAGGCACAUGCCACACUUGAAUUAACUGUCAUAAUGAAGUCCAUCACUUUGUAUGAUGGUUAUACUCAUUUUUCUGUCAUUUGAAAGUCUCUGGACACUUGGCUUCUUCCUCAAGGGUAGAAGAGUCUGGACAAGAGUCUGGAGGUUUCACCUAGGGCUGAUGGUUGGGUCAGGUCAUAGGAACCAUGUAAAUGCCUCCCUCUGAAGCUGGAAGUCCUUGCUUCUCUUCCUUCCUCCUGUGUUAUAUAAAACCAUUUACAUUUCCUCUUCCAGAAUAUUUUCCUGAAAGCUUCUUUUCUAAGGAAUCACAUGUUUUCUUUAUCUCUAAAGCCCAUGAUCAUGUCGUUUUAUAACACACUCAUUAUAUGGUUUCAGAGACCUCAGGACUUGGCUGGUUCUAAGAAACACUUCUUAGCAUGCUUAUAGCCAACCUCUGUCACCCACCUCCCCCAUGUAAAUCACAUAGGAAUCCCUCUUGCUUUGGUCUGUGAAUUGUGUGCAUCUUUUCCCUUCUGUUCUUUUCUCCCUGUGGUGCCUUCCCUAGCCUCAAAACCUCUGCCUCUCAGACUCUCACGUUCUUUAACAUCCAACUUCAGUGUAGCAGGACUGUACUCUAUAGCUCUAUAAUGACUUAGUCAGCUCCAGCUUCUUAUUUUUUUUUUAAAGAUUUGUUUUUUAUUAUAUGUAAGUACACUGUAGCUGUCUUCAGACACACUAGAAGAGGGAGUCAGACCUCAUUAUGGAUGGUUGUAAGCCACCAAGUGGCUGCUGGGAUUUGAACUCAGGACCUCACUGAGCCUUCUCCCAAGCCCCAGCUUCAGCUUCUAUGCCCCGAACUAGGAGACUUAUCAACAACAGACAAUUAUUCCCUGCUGUCUGUAGGCUGCAAAUCUCAGAUCAAGGCCUGGUUCCAGGGAGGGCUCUUUUCUGCUGUGGAGGCUGCUCAAAUUGAACUAUUAGGAGCUACACUGGUGCUUGCUCACUUCGCAAAGCUUUGUCUUCUAACACUAUCCUAGUCAGGAAUAAGAUUUGAACAUAUGAACUUUGGUAAUCCACAUGGUGCAUAGAAAUCACGGAUCCCACAGAAAGUUGGAAGUAUGCCUUGGCCUAUGACCAACACUGAUGUCUGCUCUGCUCUGACCCCUACUGUGCUAUUUGCUGCUCAGGGGUUAUACACAGAUAUCCACUGCUCUCAGAGUGAGGAGCUCAAGAAAGGGUAGACAUCAUUGUUCUGUCUUUUGGCUUUUGCUAUGAGCACCUACCACACAGGUGUAGAAGGAGGAGAUGACGUGGGGGUAGAAAUCUGCAAUUUCUAUGUUUUACAUUUUCCCUAUUCUUGAAGGUCUUUCAUGAAGCUGAAGUUCUGUCUCUCUUGCCACCUGCAUAAACACGGUACACACGCCUCACUACCUCAUAAAGCCAGUCACUCUGUCUUCUUCUAUACUACUCCCCCUGUCUAAAGCACAGGUAUUUCACCCAGAAGGGCAAACCCAUGACCAACUGAUGUUAUGUACUCCAUAAGACCUUGUGCUGCAAGAUCUUUUUUUUUUUUUUCCGUUUUUGAGACAGGGUUUCUCUGUGUAGCCCUGGCUGUCCUGGAACUCACUCUGUAGACCAAGCUGGCCUCAAACUUAGAAACUUGCCUGCCUCAGCCUCUCAAGUGCUGGGAUUAAAGGCGUGUGCCACCACUGCCUAGCUCUUGCUGCUAGGUCUUGAUAGAUAAUUUUAGAACAGAAAAAUGAUGCUAUGAAUUAACAAAAUAUCUAACAAGCAUAUUACUUUCACUGUGCAAAGACAAACUGGUGUCAACGUGGCUUCUGAAUCUUAGUUACCUGAGUAGUUCAGAAACUUAGAUUUUUUUUUUUAAUUACCAAUCUAACAAUUGCUGAUUUCAUAGUUUGUCUUUAGGUUCUUUGACAUGAGUUCCUCCCGAAUACUGAAUCAGUAAGUUCAAAGAUUAUGCAUUAGAUGGGUAUAAACCAUAUUUCAAAGCAACUUCAUUUCAGAACUGCAGUGUGCUUUUCUACUGAAAGCUUAGCAAAUAUCUUGAUAUUCCUAAUUUUUUUUCUGGUAGAAUAAUGGACUAAAAUAAAUUCUUAGUGCAUGGGAUAGGUACUGAUCCAUAUGACAAGUUUUCUAAUUAUACACACAUACAUGGAUACACACACACUUAAAAUGGAGUCCUCCUAAUCAGAUGUAGCCUCUUAAAUAUCAGUAACAACUUUAAAUCUCUUUAAAGCAGAAAAAGUCUGAGUAAAGCCUUGUUGUAAGGAGGAGAUCAAAGCUUAUCCAGUAGGAAACUAGUCAUAAAUGGACAUAAGCCAUAUAUACAAGCAUUUGUUAAUAAGCAUUACUUAGUGAAACAUGAUCCACUCUUGUAUUCUUGAGUGUUCACUGACCAAUGUGUAAAACAGACUUUACAGUGAAGAGCCCUCUCCCACCCACUGGUCAACAGCACAGACCUUAAGUCGGCAAGCAUGUGGCACUCAUGCUAGAGCUAGUCUAGUGUUGGGAAUGAGGUAUCCAGUUGCUACCUCGACGCGUUCUACAUCUAUUUUACUGGGGUGCAGUUGAAGGGUGAGCAUGGGGCUUGGGGUACCAGAGCAUGCAUCUGGAAGUCAGAGGAUAGCUUGUAGGACUUGACCUUCAAUCCUCUCCUUUCGCCAUGUGGGUUCUGGGGAUUGAACUCAGGUUGUCAGGCUUGGCACCAAGUAGCUUUGCUAACGACUACUUUAUAAAGAAAAUCUAUGACUGAGCCAAUUUUCAGUGAAAUACAUGAAACAGGCUUUCAUAAGAAUAUCUGCAGGCCAUGUACUAGACUCUUCCGCAGUGAAUUAGUGCAUGGAAGAGAGGGUGCCAAGGCCCACUGACCAAUUAGGGAGUCAGAGCCUGAGAAUAGUGACCUAGGGAACCAGCUUUUGAGAAUAAUGCUCUUCUACACCCAGGGUAUGGGGGGCCGCAGAUAGCUGCUGACAAUUGGUUGGCCAUUUCCCACUUAAAAAAAAAAAAAACAUUUCCAAUGCUAAAACCUGGAGACAUCGGCUACAUUCAAACUUGUUUUGUUUUGUUCUGAGACAGGUAUGCAUUGCACCAACUGAAGACCUCAGCCCCCAAAAGACUUUCGCAGGUAAAACAAACGUUCUUCAUCCUUACUUUUCACUGUGAGGUACAUGGACUUGCUGACGUCUGCGCCCACAUCGU
Mus musculus (house mouse) is the source of this 13071-nucleotide long non-coding RNA. RefSeq annotates it as predicted gene, 32509. Lineage: Eukaryota; Metazoa; Chordata; Mammalia; Rodentia; Muridae. The transcript is spliced from 3 exons. The record is from RefSeq and is a predicted model, not a curated record.